This 65-nucleotide transfer RNA is filed under the name Platypodinae sp. BMNH 1274714. Its description in RNAcentral is "tRNA-Arg". The record is from RNAcentral. Lineage: Eukaryota; Metazoa; Arthropoda; Insecta; Coleoptera; Curculionidae.
GUAUAAGAAGCAAAAUAUUUGCAUUUAGUUUCGACCUAAACUUAUGAUUUUAUAAUCCUUGUAUG